RNAcentral lists this long non-coding RNA (232 nucleotides) under Homo sapiens (human). RNAcentral's name for it is "HSALNT0059824". The record is from RNAcentral. Lineage: Eukaryota; Metazoa; Chordata; Mammalia; Primates; Hominidae.
GUAACCUCUGCCUCUCGGGUUCAAGCGAUUCUCCUGCCUCAGCCUCCCUAGAAGUUGGAAUUACAGGCACGCCACCAUGCCCAACUAAUUUUUGUAGUUUUAGUAGAGAUGGGGUUUCACUAUGUUAGCCAGGCUGGUCUUGAACUCCUGACCUCAGGUGAUCUGCCCACCUUGGCCUCCCAAAGUGCUGAGAUUACAGGCGUAAGCCACCACGCCCAGCCCUAUUUUACCA